Molecule: ribosomal RNA, 524 nt
Filed under: uncultured microorganism
Description: bacterial SSU rRNA
Rfam family: Bacterial small subunit ribosomal RNA
Source: RNAcentral
GAGUUUGAUCAUGGCUCAGGAUGAACGCUGGCGGCGUGCCUAAUACAUGCAAGUCGAGCGAACAGACGAGGAGCUUGCUCCUCUGACGUUAGCGGCGGACGGGUGAGUAACACGUGGAUAACCUACCUAUAAGACUGGGAUAACUUCGGGAAACCGGAGCUAAUACCGAAUAAUAUAUUGAACCGCAUGGUUCAAUAGUGAAAAACGGUUUUGCUGUCACUUAUAGAUGGAUCCGCGCCGCAUUAGCUAGUUGGUAGGGUAACGGCUUACCAAGGCGACGAUGCGUAGCCGACCUGAGAGGGUGAUCGGCCACACUGGAACUGAGACACGGUCCAGACUCCUACGGGAGGCAGCAGUAGGGAAUCUUCCGCAAAUGGGCGAAAGCCUGACGGAGCAACGCCGCGUGAGUGAUGAAGGUCUUCGGAUCGUAAAACUCUGUUAUUAGGGAAGAACAAAUGUGUAAGUAACUAUGCACGUCUUGACGGUACCUAAUCAGAAAGCCACGGCUAACUACGUGCCAGCCC